Molecule: ribosomal RNA, 522 nt
Filed under: Diuraphis noxia (Russian wheat aphid)
Lineage: Eukaryota; Metazoa; Arthropoda; Insecta; Hemiptera; Aphididae
Description: partial 16S ribosomal RNA
Source: RNAcentral
CACCUGUUUAUCAAAAACAUUGUAUUAAGUUUAAUUUAAUAUAGGAUCUGCUCAAUGAUUUAUUAAAUAGCUGCAGUAUUUUGACUGUGCAAAGGUAGCAUAAUAAUUAGUCUUUUAAUUGAGGACUUGUAUGAAAGAUUUGAUGAGAAAUAAACUUUAUUAUUUAUAUAAUUAAAAUUUUAUUUUUAAGUAAAAAAGCUUAAAUUAUUUAAAGGGACGAUAAGACCCUAUAAAACUUUAUAAAUAUUAUUUUUAAUUUUUUUGGAUUAUAAAUGUUUUAAUUUUAAUAUUUAUUUUAUUGGGGUGAUAAAAAAAUUUAAUUAACUUUUUUUAAAAUUUUACAUUAUUUAAUGGAUAUUUGAAUUAAAAUUUUUAAUUAAAGGAAAAAGUUACUUUAGGGAUAACAGCGUAAUUAAUUUUUUAAGUUCAAAUUUAAAAAUUAGUUUGCGACCUCGAUGUUGAAUUAAGAUUAAUCUUAGGUGCAAAAUUUUAAGUAUUAGGUCUGUUCGACUUUUAAAAUCU